This 1312-nucleotide ribosomal RNA is filed under the name Bacillus sp. (in: firmicutes). RNAcentral's name for it is "bacterial SSU rRNA". It matches the Rfam family "Bacterial small subunit ribosomal RNA", at positions 56 to 1352 of the family's 1533-position model. The record is from RNAcentral. Lineage: Bacteria; Bacillati; Bacillota; Bacilli; Caryophanales; Bacillaceae.
UGCAAGUCGAGCGGACGGAAGGGAGCUUGCUCCCGGAUGUUAGCGGCGGACGGGUGAGUAACACGUGGGUAACCUGCCUGUAAGACUGGGAUAACUCCGGGAAACCGGAGCUAAUACCGGAUAGUUCCUUGAACCGCAUGGUUCAAGGAUGAAAGACGGUUUCGGCUGUCACUUACAGAUGGACCCGCGGCGCAUUAGCUAGUUGGUGAGGUAACGGCUCACCAAGGCGACGAUGCGUAGCCGACCUGAGAGGGUGAUCGGCCACACUGGGACUGAGACACGGCCCAGACUCCUACGGGAGGCAGCAGUAGGGAAUCUUCCGCAAUGGACGAAAGUCUGACGGAGCAACGCCGCGUGAGUGAUGAAGGUUUUCGGAUCGUAAAGCUCUGUUGUUAGGGAAGAACAAGUGCAAGAGUAACUGCUUGCACCUUGACGGUACCUAACCAGAAAGCCACGGCUAACUACGUGCCAGCAGCCGCGGUAAUACGUAGGUGGCAAGCGUUGUCCGGAAUUAUUGGGCGUAAAGGGCUCGCAGGCGGUUUCUUAAGUCUGAUGUGAAAGCCCCCGGCUCAACCGGGGAGGGUCAUUGGAAACUGGGAAACUUGAGUGCAGAAGAGGAGAGUGGAAUUCCACGUGUAGCGGUGAAAUGCGUAGAGAUGUGGAGGAACACCAGUGGCGAAGGCGACUCUCUGGUCUGUAACUGACGCUGAGGAGCGAAAGCGUGGGGAGCGAACAGGAUUAGAUACCCUGGUAGUCCACGCCGUAAACGAUGAGUGCUAAGUGUUAGGGGGUUUCCGCCCCUUAGUGCUGCAGCUAACGCAUUAAGCACUCCGCCUGGGGAGUACGGUCGCAAGACUGAAACUCAAAGGAAUUGACGGGGGCCCGCACAAGCGGUGGAGCAUGUGGUUUAAUUCGAAGCAACGCGAAGAACCUUACCAGGUCUUGACAUCCUCUGACAACCCUAGAGAUAGGGCUUUCCCUUCGGGGACAGAGUGACAGGUGGUGCAUGGUUGUCGUCAGCUCGUGUCGUGAGAUGUUGGGUUAAGUCCCGCAACGAGCGCAACCCUUGAUCUUAGUUGCCAGCAUUCAGUUGGGCACUCUAAGGUGACUGCCGGUGACAAACCGGAGGAAGGUGGGGAUGACGUCAAAUCAUCAUGCCCCUUAUGACCUGGGCUACACACGUGCUACAAUGGACAGAACAAAGGGCUGCGAGACCGCAAGGUUUAGCCAAUCCCACAAAUCUGUUCUCAGUUCGGAUCGCAGUCUGCAACUCGACUGCGUGAAGCUGGAAUCGCUAGUAAUCGCGGAUCAG